GGAGGGGCGGCCGUAGAGGUGUUAAGUUGUAGCCUUAGUUAUGGGAUUGUUAGUCUCCCCCUCUAUA
RNAcentral lists this transfer RNA (67 nucleotides) under Kuphus polythalamius. RNAcentral's name for it is "tRNA-Tyr". The record is from RNAcentral. Lineage: Eukaryota; Metazoa; Mollusca; Bivalvia; Myida; Teredinidae.